AAAAAGGUAAGCUAAUAAAGCUAUUGGGUUCAUACCCCAAUUAUGGAGAACAAUUCUCCCCUCUUUA
RNAcentral lists this transfer RNA (67 nucleotides) under Paragavialidium hainanense. RNAcentral describes it as "tRNA-Met". The record is from RNAcentral. Lineage: Eukaryota; Metazoa; Arthropoda; Insecta; Orthoptera; Tetrigidae.